This 238-nucleotide unclassified non-coding RNA is filed under the name Hevea brasiliensis (rubber tree). The record is from RNAcentral. Lineage: Eukaryota; Viridiplantae; Streptophyta; Magnoliopsida; Malpighiales; Euphorbiaceae.
CUUUCCUGUGUUGGUAAUUUGCAUAGAGAAGAGCAAAAUUAGUUUCCCUUGUUGGUUACUUCUUCCAAGGUUUCAAAAUAGAAAGCACAAUGAUAAUGGCAAUAAUCAAAAGCAAAAGAAUGGAAAUCAUCAUGCAUUUCCUGGAUUUCUUUUGCAAGCUCUUUGCAGUUCUAAGAGCAUCUGUACCACUUUGAACAUGAUCCACUGCAUUUGUCACCUGACUUUCAAUGUUAUCUAA